CUUGAGAAUAUUUUUUUUUUCAUUUAUGGAUAUCAUUAUGACACUUGUCUUAGAAGAAAGUUAACAUAUAUAUCUAGAAUUGCUUUCUCAUCUUUUAGCUAGUAUGAAACGAAGCAAUGUGGAAGUUCUACCAAUUGCUCACAAAUUGGGAAAAAGAGUACUUAAAAGUCGUGCUAACAAGGUUAGGCCUCACUUGCAACAUGCUAUGAAAUCUUUGGGUAUUUCUUUUGGUGAUUGCAAUAACAUUAUUGCCUCUAUUUGCCAAUCUAGUAUUGUUGAACAAAAAGAGCAGUUUGAAGAUUCUAAACUUGAAGAACCAAUUCUAGAACAAGAAGUUGAUAAAGCCAAUCAAAAAAUGCUUGAGGAAAAUAUGUUGG
Molecule: unclassified non-coding RNA, 377 nt
Filed under: Hevea brasiliensis (rubber tree)
Lineage: Eukaryota; Viridiplantae; Streptophyta; Magnoliopsida; Malpighiales; Euphorbiaceae
Source: RNAcentral